UUCUAGACCUCGGUCUUUCCGCGUCCUUCUACGCUUCGCUCCCACUCUUGCCGACCCUGCGCCCGAGGGAGAGCCGGAAAGGCCCCUCUGAUCAACAGCUGAAAUGCAUAAGAGCAGGGGGCAGAGUAGAAGACAUGGGAGAAGGAGCCACCGACACAACCCUUGGUCCAGACAGCAGGGUUCUAAUGAGAGGAAUAAUACAGGGGUACAGCAAAGCCCACAGGGUUCCAGCCACAGCGACGAUGAGGCCCCGUCGACCUCCUCCAGCACAGCUGGCAGUUCUUCCGUGCCAGAUCUACCAGGUUAUUACUUCGACCCUGAAAAGAAACGCUACUUCCGCUUGCUCCCUGGACAUAACAACUGCAACCCCCUCACGAAGGAGAGCAUCCGGCAGAAGGAAAUGGAGAGCAAAAGGCUGCAGCUGCUAGAGAAGGAGGACAAGCAGGGAAAGAAAAUAGCCAGGUUGGGAUUUAAUGCAUCUUCCUUACUACAAAAAAGCAAGCUGGGUUUUCUCAACGUCACCAGUUACUGCCGUUUAGCCCAUGAGCUGCGAGUGAGCUGCAUGCAGAGGAAAAAGGUCCAAAUUCAGAGCUCGGAUCCCUCCGCUUUGGCAAGUGACCGAUUUAACCUGAUACUGGCGGAUACCAACAGUGACCGGCUCUUCACUGUGAACGAUGUCAAAGUCGGGGGCUCCAAGUACGGCAUCAUCAACCUGCGCGGCCUGAAGACCCCCACGCUCAGGGUGCACAUGCAUGAAAACCUCUACUUCACCAACCGGAAGGUGAAUGCUGUGAGCUGGGCCUCGCUGAGUCACCUGGAUUCCCACAUUCUGCUGUGCCUCAUGGGAAUUGCAGAGACUCCAGGCUGUGCCACCCUGCUCCCAGCGUCAUUGUUUGUCAGUAGUCAUCCAGCAGGAGACCGGCCUGGCAUGCUCUGCAGUUUCCGGAUCCCCGGGGCCUGGUCCUGUGCGUGGUCCCUGAACAUCCAGGCAAAUAACUGCUUUAGUACAGGCUUGUCUCGGCGAGUCCUGGUGACCAGCGUGGUGACGGGACACCGGCAGUCAUUUGGGACCAGCAGUGACGUCUUGGCCCAGCAGUUUGCUAUUAUGGCUCCUUUGCUGUUUAAUGGCUGUCGUUCCGGCGAAAUCUUUGCCAUUGAUCUGCGUUGUCGAAAUCAGGGCAAGGGCUGGAAAGCCACCCGCCUGUUCCAUGACUCAGCAGUUACCUCUGUGCAAAUCCUGCAAGAAGAGCAAUGCCUGAUGGCAUCUGACAUGGCUGGAACGAUCAAGCUGUGGGACCUGAGGACUACUAAGUGUAUGAGGCAGUACGAAGGGCACGUGAACGAGUACGCCCACCUGCCCCUGCACGUGCACGAGGAAGAAGGACUCGUGGUGGCAGUGGGCCAGGACUGCUACACGAGAAUCUGGAGCCUCCAUGAUGCCCAGCUGCUCAGAACCAUACCCUCCCCACACCCCACUUCCAAGGCCGACAUUCCCAGUGUGGCCUUCUCUUCUCGGCUUGGGGGCUUCCGGGGAGCGCCAGGGCUGCUCAUGGCCAUCCGGCAGGACCUUUACUGCUUCUCCUACAGCUAAUUCUGCAGAUUGCAGCCUGGAGGGACGUGGAUGUGACUCAGGGGAGCACAGACCUACAGCUGAUAACUGCAUCUCACUGUUGCUAGCCCAGGAUGCUUCACCAGUUACACUCUCUUCGGUUACCCCCUUGAGUGUUAUGCAUCUGUGUCCUGCCAGAACCCUACUACAACUUAAGUAACUGGUGUUGCACCUCUGGUGAAGAGCCAGUGGAGACAACUGACUACUCAGAAUACCUGACGAGAACAGCGGCACAAGCUGGUGACCAGAAACGUCCACAGAUCGACACUCAGUGUCCCCCAACAAGGGCACCCAGACACCAAGUUAGCCCCACUUACCUGGCAGCCCUCGAUCUGCCCUGGCCUAAAUCUUCCAUGUAACCACCUCUGAAAACAACUGCAGGCUAAACUCAGUUUCUUCUUCCAUUUCUCCAUGAAUAUUAGUAAAAGCCUUCCCUUUCGUUUUUAUUUAUUUUCUUUGGCUGCGCCACGCUGCUUGUGGAAUCUUAGUUCCCCACCCAGGGAUUGAACCUGGGCCGUUGGCAAUGAAAGCACAGAGUCCUAACCACUGGACCUCCAGGGAAUUCCCUGGGCCCACUCCUUCAAGUCUGCCUCUCCAGGCCACCCACCACAUGGCCACUGCCACGGGAAUGACCUUCCCAAAGAUCCCUGCACUCAACGCCUUCUUGUACCUCAGAAUAAAAAGUGCGGCAUCGGGCCUCCCUGGUGGCGCAAGUGGUUGAGAGUCCGCCUGCCGAUGCAGGGGAUACGGGUUCGUGCCCCGGUCCGGGAGGAUCCCAUAUGCCGCGGAGCGGCUGGGCCCGUGAGCCAUGGCCGCUGGGCCUGCGCGUCCGGAGCCUGUGCUCCGCAACGGGGGAGGCCACAACAGUGAGAGGCCCGCGUACCGCAAAAAGAAAAAAAAGUGCGGCAUCUUGAGAUUUGAUCACAUGUGCCUCACCCUGUUGCCCCUUCUCCACCUCCCACCUGGUGCUCUCAGGACACAGUUACAAGUCCCUCCGUCAUCUGGGCCUCUGCUCAAGCUGUCCUCCACUCCUUUCAUCUGUUGAGUCUCAGCUUCACAGAAACCUCGAGGAAGCUUAGUUUCCCCAGCACUUGCCACAUCUAGACACUUAGUAUGUUGAAUGAACAAUUUUUGCCAGCAUUAUUCCCUUUUAAUUCUUAGAACCUUACGAAGCACGUGAAGGUCACUCCUAUAUACCAAAGAAAAAACUGAGAAUAAAGCAAUUUGUCCAAGGUCUCCUGCUAAUAAGUAGCAGAGCCAACAGGGUCUCCUGCUCAAGAAAUCUAUUAGGCCCCAUGUGUUGGAGGGAAUGGAAUUUUUACUUUUCCUCUGGAACUUUAAGAUCUCCUUAGGAUAAUUUUCCGGGACUUCCCUGGUGGCGCAGUGGUUAAGAAUCCACUUGCGGGCCUCCCUGGUGGCGCAAGUGGUUAAGAGUCCGCCUGCCGAUGCAGGGGAUACGGGUUCGUGCCCCGGUCUGGGAGGAUCCCAUAUGCCGCAGAGCGGCUGGGCCCGUGAGCCAUGGCCGCUGGGCCUGCGCAUCCGGAGCCUGUGCUCCGCAACGGGA
RNA transcript from Mesoplodon densirostris (Blainville's beaked whale), 3173 nucleotides. It is a transcript of the gene named DDB1 and CUL4 associated factor 4, with no coding region annotated. The record is from RefSeq and is a predicted model, not a curated record. The transcript is spliced from 17 exons. NCBI's taxonomy places the organism in Eukaryota, Metazoa, Chordata, Mammalia, Artiodactyla, Ziphiidae.